GUUUGCGUGUACGAGUUGGUUUAAGGUGCCAUCCUGCUAAGGUGGUGUGCGAGUGAUUGCACCGAUGGUUCGAAUCCAUCCGCAAACG
This 88-nucleotide transfer RNA is filed under the name Lachnospiraceae bacterium. Its description in RNAcentral is "tRNA-Ser". It matches the Rfam family "tRNA". Rfam says of the family: Transfer RNA (tRNA) molecules are approximately 80 nucleotides in length. Their secondary structure includes four short double-helical elements and three loops (D, anti-codon, and T loops). Further hydrogen bonds mediate the characteristic L-shaped molecular structure. tRNAs have two regions of fundamental functional importance: the anti-codon, which is responsible for specific mRNA codon recognition, and the 3' end, to which the tRNAs corresponding amino acid is attached (by aminoacyl-tRNA synthetases). tRNAs cope with the degeneracy of the genetic code in two manners: having more than one tRNA (with a specific anti-codon) for a particular amino acid; and 'wobble' base-pairing, i.e. permitting non-standard base-pairing at the 3rd anti-codon position. The record is from RNAcentral. Lineage: Bacteria; Bacillati; Bacillota; Clostridia; Lachnospirales; Lachnospiraceae.